This 541-nucleotide unclassified non-coding RNA is filed under the name Hevea brasiliensis (rubber tree). Lineage: Eukaryota; Viridiplantae; Streptophyta; Magnoliopsida; Malpighiales; Euphorbiaceae. The record is from RNAcentral.
UUUUAAGAUUACAAAAUUUACAUGUAAGUAAGCUUCCAAAUACCAAGAACUGACACUUUCCAUCAUCCAAAUCUUCUUGUUCUCUCUCUCUUUGCGGGUAAAGUUUCAUUCUUGUGGUUGGCAACACAUAGAUAUUUGCUUGAUUCUGAUAACGGUGACUGCAUUUCAAGAUGAUUUGAAUCGAUAUUUCUCUAUUCCUUCUUUCUUUUGUUAUUUUUGCCACGCUGAGUGUUUUUUUUUAUCUGGGUUUUUGCGUAUUUGUUCAUUGUAGCAUUCAAAAUUGAAAUGAUUAGAUAAAUUAUGAUCUGGAUGUGGUUUAAUUUUAUUUCUCCUAUCAAUACGUGUUUUUGAGAUGAAAUGCUAAAUGGGUUCUCUUAAUUUCAUUUUCCUUCAUUUUGUUUCUAUAAUUGUUAAAAUAAUUUUCUGUGACUGCUUAAUCUAGCCUUAGGUUAUCUUUAUUUUUGUUUCAAUUUUUUAUUGGUAAAUACAAGUUUCUGUAUGUGUUUGACUGUUUUAUAGGGUGUUACACAUUGUGGAAACG